This 497-nucleotide ribosomal RNA is filed under the name uncultured bacterium. Its description in RNAcentral is "partial 16S ribosomal RNA". It matches the Rfam family "Bacterial small subunit ribosomal RNA", at positions 28 to 507 of the family's 1533-position model. The record is from RNAcentral.
GAUGAACGCUGGCGGCGUGCCUAAUACAUGCAAGUCGAGCGAACAGACGAGGAGCUUGCUCCUCUGACGUUAGCGGCGGACGGGUGAGUAACACGUGGAUAACCUACCUAUAAGACUGGGAUAACUUCGGGAAACCGGAGCUAAUACCGGAUAAUAUAUUGAACCGCAUGGUUCAAUAGUGAAAGACGGUUUUGCUGUCACUUAUAGAUGGAUCCGCGCCGCAUUAGCUAGUUGGUAAGGUAACGGCUUACCAAGGCAACGAUGCGUAGCCGACCUGAGAGGGUGAUCGGCCACACUGGAACUGAGACACGGUCCAGACUCCUACGGGAGGCAGCAGUAGGGAAUCUUCCGCGAUGGGCGAAAGCCUGACGGAGCAACGCCGCGUGAGUGAUGAAGGUCCUCGGAUCGUAAAACUCUGUUAUUAGGGAAGAACAAAUGUGUAAGUAACUAUGCACGUCUUGACGGUACCUAAUCAGAAAGCCACGGCUAACUACGUG